GUCUGGAUGAGCAGGGGAGGGAUGGUGAGCGGGGGGCGUCGGCAGCGACGCUGGCGCGGGGGGCCUUGUCUUCAGAUAUGGCUAUAAACUGGAACCGGUCGGGGCUUCUCUGCGAGCGGCGCGGCCCGGGAGGGGGUGGAGUGGCGGAGGCUGUCUCCAUAUACAUGAAUGGAUCGGCAGAGGUUGGGCCGAUUAAUCGGCUUGACCCGACAUCCAUUAGUGCCGCUUGGAGGUCCUGCACUGUAGAGUGGGCAUUGUGCAAUAUCUACUCGUCCUGUCGGUGUUUUUUUAAUAAUUUGAAUUUUGUUGAAG
Molecule: long non-coding RNA, 312 nt
Filed under: Androctonus crassicauda
Lineage: Eukaryota; Metazoa; Arthropoda; Arachnida; Scorpiones; Buthidae
Source: RNAcentral